CAGUUUUAGAAGUUGAAGACAUGGGCUGUAUGGUUGAGAAGAGUUCUGCUGAACCCAGUUUGAAGUUGCACUUGUUGCGGGUUGAAAUGUUAUCCCAUACCUGUGUUAAAAGCGGCUUUCUGAUUGGUUUAGAGCAGGUGAGUUUGUCGUCGAGCUCACCUGCUUUUUGCCCGAACUCACCUGCUUUUCGCCGAACUCACCCGCGAAACUCCUCACGUUGCAACUUGCAAUAACAAUAACAAGUAUGGCGGACAAGAUUUAGCCGAUAAACCUAGGCUUUAUAGAACUUUUUUCGGUGACUAACUUGCUGAGACUGAAGAAAAACCAAAGAAAAAUGCAUCAAAGGUAAUCUAGACGUAGAUAAAGAAUUAUUUUCUUGCCCAGUGAUUUUUUUGGCCGGGAAAAUGCUGACAAAACAUCGACGAAUAUAUCUCGAAGAGCUACAAAUGUGUGUAUGGCUCGGUGUAUGGG
This is a non-coding RNA of Paramuricea clavata, 471 nucleotides long. NCBI's taxonomy places the organism in Eukaryota, Metazoa, Cnidaria, Anthozoa, Malacalcyonacea, Plexauridae. The record is from the annotation of a GenBank genome assembly.